UAGAAUUGUUCUAUUGGGAUGAUGGAACCACAGGAUGAAAGAAGUCUGAAUACUGGAAGUACCAAAGAAAGCUGCACUGCAGAGUUGCUUGACCAGCAGUGGACUUGUGUAACUCCACAUCAGGUCUCUUCCAGAGAGCUCCACAUCUGGCCCAUGAAAUGCCGCAUCCUUUGCCCAGCACUCUGUUGACACUACUGCAUUAGCCAGCCUUUUCUAGAUUUCUCAGUGAGGAAGCCAGCUACCAUCCCUACAGGACACUCAAGUAACCCCACGGAGAGGACAUUGCAGAGAAGAACUUGUCGAAAGCCAGUACUCACUCUGCCAUCUAUGUGAAUAAUCCACCUUUGAGUGGAUCUUCCAGCCCACAUCAAGCCUUCAUAUAACAGCAGUCCUGGAGGACAUUUGAUUGCAACCUUGUGAAAACCCAGGAGUCUGAGAAUAUCUGUUGACCAGAGAUAAACUAUCAGGAGGCUUUGAAGUGCUGUAAAUGCUUUACCUAUUUGAGGUUUCAUUAUUAUUUUGUCUUUUACAUUUAGUCAUUUUCUGGAA
Long non-coding RNA from Cercocebus atys (sooty mangabey), 549 nucleotides. RefSeq lists it as uncharacterized. The record is from RefSeq and is a predicted model, not a curated record. The transcript is spliced from 4 exons. NCBI's taxonomy places the organism in Eukaryota, Metazoa, Chordata, Mammalia, Primates, Cercopithecidae.